UUCGAUAUUGUUUUUGUAGCAAUACUUUCGGCAACUUUCGUACUUAAUUUCGUGUUUAUAGUUGGAGCCGUUACAUUUACUGUUCUUAACCAAAAAAAGGAUACUACAAACGACGCUAAGCCGCUACAGUAUAUGCCUUCUACUAGCCGACCGAGCCUUGUCCCGACACUGCCUCAAGUUAUGAUGUACAAUGCGCUGGUCAGAAGUAACAAUUCAAGCACCGUGUUCAACUAAACAGUACGAAGAUUAAAAAAAAAUGAAAGAGUAGUAAAGAGCUUCUUUUUUACAAAA
Long non-coding RNA from Melitaea cinxia (Glanville fritillary), 291 nucleotides. RefSeq lists it as uncharacterized. NCBI's taxonomy places the organism in Eukaryota, Metazoa, Arthropoda, Insecta, Lepidoptera, Nymphalidae. The record is from RefSeq and is a predicted model, not a curated record. The transcript has 2 exons.